RNAcentral lists this unclassified non-coding RNA (209 nucleotides) under Hevea brasiliensis (rubber tree). Lineage: Eukaryota; Viridiplantae; Streptophyta; Magnoliopsida; Malpighiales; Euphorbiaceae. The record is from RNAcentral.
GGUAAAUGAUUGCUCCUUUUAGCCCAUUAACAUGAUUUUCUUAGGUCUUUAUGUCUUGCACAUAAGCUAAGAAUCUCAUUCAAUCUCUUUUGUUGUUGAAACGGGAAAUACUUUUGAAGGAAUGAAAUGACACAAGCAAAAGAGAUUGUUGUUGAAAUAGAGGGACUCCCACUAACAUUUUUAUCUCAUAAAAGACACUGUUUUGUCUU